Non-coding RNA from Ictidomys tridecemlineatus (thirteen-lined ground squirrel), 2814 nucleotides. The record is from RefSeq and is a predicted model, not a curated record. NCBI's taxonomy places the organism in Eukaryota, Metazoa, Chordata, Mammalia, Rodentia, Sciuridae.
GGGGGCUGCAGCCACCAAGGAGGAAACGUCUGGCAGCCACGUGCAGGAGGGCCAGCCCCCAGGGACCAGGCCUCCGUCCCCAGCACCCAUCCUGCCUGCUGCCUGAGGUCCAGAUGAGGGUGAGGCUGUUGGGGACAGGGUAGGCGUGGUCCCGCCAGGCCCCUUGGCUAAGUGACUGCCCGGGCAGGAGCGGGCACCAUGUUCUUUUCUGAUGUCUGGGCCUUCUGUGGCCAGAAGCCCGGCUGUGGGAUCUGUGUCAGGGACUCCCAUAAACCUCCCCGCUCGCGUUCCGGCGACGCUCUCUGUUUCCUGCUGGCAGAGAAUCCAGCUCCAACGACAAGGCACUUUAUGCUCUGGCGCAUGUGUCACAGAUCUCGUGGCCAAGACCCGUGUCACCAGUUUGGAUCACCACCUACGACUCCAGUCCAGCAUGUGCUGAGUCACAGGCUCAUUUCUGACUGUUGGACUUUUGUUUGCAGCUCGCUGUCGGUGGUAUUUCACACUUUGAAGAUAUAUUUCUGUACGUAUUUUUCUGGUAACCUACAGAUACUAUGAUAUAGGAAAUCAGAAGUAGAUUAACUUUACGAGGUUGAUGUUAAAUUUUGAUGCAUUCUACUGAACCUCUUUCCAAAUGCUGCACCUGUCCCAUGUGCCCCUGUCCCUGCUGCGGGGGAACAUCUCCUGCUCCUCACGUCCUUCAGUCUGCAUGUUUAAUUAUCUUCCAAAGCAAAUAAAUUGCCAAAGAAAAGACAUCAGCAGGUGGCUCUGGUGUCAGCAGCCCUCAGGUGCUGGCAGGACUGUGUCCUUCUGGAAGCUGGUGCUCCCUGUCCCCCAGGCUGCCUGGGCUGGCCAGCUCUGGUUUCUUCCUCCGUCUCAGAGCAGCUGUGUGGCACUGUUGAGUAUCCCACCCUCUCUGUGCUUUCUACUUCCAUCAUCAAUCUCCUCUCUCCGACACAUCUGCCCCUUUUCUGAACACGGAGGUGAUCACAAAGAGGUCGCGUCCGGAGAUCCAGGACCAUCCUCGGUCUUGAGGGCCUCAGUCACACCUGCAAGAUCCCCUUUUCCACGUGAGGCUGCACAACCUCAGGUCUGGGGACUGGGACUUCUUGGUGGGGGUAUCACUCUACCUGCCACAUCAGCAAGGUCACCUGGGACCCUCAGUGUGACCUGUUUGCUCUUUUUUAACCCAGAUGCAAUGCUUUUCCAAGACUCGGCAGCCCUAUGGAUGACGUGCACGGGUUAGGGUUUGGCGGGGUUUGCUACACGGGAAACCAAACGCUGCAUAGGUUUCCCUCAAGAGCAAGGUCCAGCUGACCACAGCCUUCAAGUCACGGCCACGCUCCUGCCGCUUCUCCUGGGCUCCUCCUGUUGGACUGGUCCCUGUUCAUCCUCUGACCCAUUCCCGCUUCCUGGAGCCGAUGCCCUGCCGCUGGGCGCCUGUUCCGGCACGGCGGUCGGCGUGUCAGAAGACACCUCCUCGGCCUUCCCACCCAGAGCUGCGUGGUGACCCCUCCUUUGUCCCCUCCCUGUGCCUUGGCUCUCGCUGCUCCAAAACACUCCCCUGGGCCUCUGCUGCAGGCCCUGGGAAGGCCCCGGCGUCUGGCGUUGCGUCAGGUUUCUCCUGGAAAUGGGAUGUCUCCCCCGUUAUGCACUUGAAUCAGUCGUCUCCGACUUCACGUGGGCUGGCUUUUGGGUAGACUUAUUGUAUGUGCAGCGAACCCACUUUACGUGGAGGCCGACCUUAGCUGUUCAUUCCCAGCCUCUUGCUCUCUGACGUAGUUCCUUCCGUGUUCCCAGGACCAGGGACCGCGAGCCGGGCAGCCUGACCCGCUGACCGUGCUUCCUCAGAGCCCUGGAGGCAGGUCCAGGGCAGAGGUCAGCAGGGAAGUUCCUUCUGUGGCCGGCAGGAGACUCUCUUCUGGCCUCUGGGCGCUGUGUGGCCUGAGGGAGCUUCAUCCCGUCUCUGUUGCCAUCUUCUUGCGGUGCUCUCCCUGAGUGGCUCUGUGUCCAGUCUCCCAUCCGUAAAUGACACAGAUCAUAUUGAUCAGGGACCCCUUGACUCAUCUUAAAUUGAUCAUUUGCAAAGAUUUCCAGAUGAGGUCACUGUCUGAGGUAUGGGUUGGGGAUUUCAACGCACUGAUUUGGGGGUGAUAUGGUUAAACCUAGACUACUUUCGACUUAUAACUUCAAUUGACUCUUUGUUUCAUCACUUUAUCUUGAUCAAUAAGCUGGUUAAUAAUAGUUGUGAUCAUAGCAAUCGUUGUAUUAUUUGGGGAAUUAAUGGGACUGAUUCAGUAUAAAGUGUGACAUUAGCUAUUGCUUUGGGAGAGAUGGAUUCUGGAGACUCGGGAGGGUAGCAAGUCUGAAGCCAGCCAGGGUGAGUUAGCAAGGCCCUAAGCAACUUAGGGAGAGCUGUCCCCAAAUAAAAAGAGCUGGGGAUGUGGCUCAGUGGGGAAGCAUCCUGAGUCCUGGGUUCAAUCCCCAGCACUGAGAGAGAGAGGGACAGAGGGACAGAGAGAAAUCUAUUCCAUCUGACAGAGAUAUACUCCUAAUCAAUUAAGAGGUUUUCUUUUCAUUUUAACCAGCAAUGAAGUUUUUAGUUAAUGUAUUUCCAAUAUCCGCAGAGUUUAUGAUUGAUUUUUGAUCUAUGUUAAAUCAUAGUAACACACAACUUAAACUACAACUAAUAUCAUGAAUGAAAAUGUCAGUUGGGAUUGAUGUGAUGCGUUUUUCCAUAUAAUGCCAAAUACAUAUUCACAGUAUUUUUCUCAAAUUUGUUGCCUCUAUAUUGAUAAGUAAAACUGACUUGUAGGA